GUAGGGAAUAUUGCGCAAUGGGGGAAACCCUGACGCAGCGACGCCGCGUGAGUGAUGAAGGCCUUCGGGUCGUAAAGCUCUGUUGCAGGGGAAUAAAAAAAUGAAGGUACCCUGUGAGGAAGGAUCGGCUAACUUCGUGCCAGCAGCCGCGGUAAGACGAGGGAUCCUAGCGUUGCUCGGAAUCAUUGGGCGUAAAGAGGGCGUAGGUGGCUUGGUAAGUCAGGUGUGAAAGCCCAGGGCUCAACCCUGGAAGUGCAUUUGAUACUGCUGAGCUUGAGUGUCGGAGAGGUUACCGGAAUACCUGGUGUAGUGGUGAAAUACGUAGAUAUCAGGUGGAACACCGGAGGCGAAGGCGGGUAACUGGACGAACACUGACACUGAGGCCAGAAAGCGUGGGGAUCAAACAGGAUUAGAUACCCCGGUAGUCC
RNAcentral lists this ribosomal RNA (428 nucleotides) under uncultured bacterium. RNAcentral describes it as "partial 16S ribosomal RNA". It matches the Rfam family "Bacterial small subunit ribosomal RNA", at positions 354 to 796 of the family's 1533-position model. The record is from RNAcentral.